Molecule: ribosomal RNA, 919 nt
Filed under: Lentilactobacillus parafarraginis
Lineage: Bacteria; Bacillati; Bacillota; Bacilli; Lactobacillales; Lactobacillaceae
Description: bacterial SSU rRNA
Rfam family: Bacterial small subunit ribosomal RNA
Source: RNAcentral
CGGUAAUACGUAGGUGGCAGCGUGUCCGGAUUUAUUGGGCGUAAAGCGAGCGCAGGCGGUUUUUUAGGUCUGAUGUGAAAGCUUCGGCUUAACCGGAGAAGGGCAUCGGAAACCGGGAGACUUGAGUGCAGAAGAGGACAGUGGAACUCCAUGUGUAGCGGUGAAAUGCGUAGAUAUAUGGAAGAACACCAGUGGCGAAGGCGGCUGUCUGGUCUGUAACUGACGCUGAGGCUCGAAAGCAUGGGUAGCGAACAGGAUUAGAUACCCUGGUAGUCCAUGCCGUAAACGAUGAGUGCUAAGUGUUGGAGGGUUUCCGCCCUUCAGUGCUGCAGCUAACGCAUUAAGCACUCCGCCUGGGGAGUACGACCGCAAGGUUGAAACUCAAAGGAAUUGACGGGGGCCCGCACAAGCGGUGGAGCAUGUGGUUUAAUUCGAUGCUACGCGAAGAACCUUACCAGGUCUUGACAUCUUCUGCUAACCUAAGAGAUUAGGCGUUCCCUUCGGGGACGGAAUGACAGGUGGUGCAUGGUUGUCGUCAGCUCGUGUCGUGAGAUGUUGGGUUAAGUCCCGCAACGAGCGCAACCCUUAUUGUCAGUUGCCAGCAUUUAGUUGGGCACUCUGGCGAGACUGCCGGUGACAAACCGGAGGAAGGUGGGGAUGACGUCAAAUCAUCAUGCCCCUUAUGACCUGGGCUACACACGUGCUACAAUGGACGGUACAACGAGUCGCGAAACCGCGAGGUCAAGCUAAUCUCUUAAAGCCGUUCUCAGUUCGGAUUGCAGGCUGCAACUCGCCUGCAUGAAGUUGGAAUCGCUAGUAAUCGUGGAUCAGCAUGCCACGGUGAAUACGUUCCCGGGCCUUGUACACACCGCCCGUCACACCAUGAGAGUUUGUAACACCCAAAGCCGGUGAGGUAACC